AAAGAAACCAACAGGGAUUGCCUCAGUAACGGCGAGUGAAGCGGCAAGAGCUCAAAUUUGAAAUCCGGCCCCCCUCCCCCGCGGGGCCCGAGUUGUAAUUUGGAGAAGAGGCUUCGGGCGCGCCCCCCGUCUAAGUUCCCUGGAACGGGACGUCGGAGAGGGUGAGAAUCCCGUAUGUGACGGGGCGGCGUCGCCCGUGUGAAGCUCUUUCGACGAGUCGAGUUGUUUGGGAAUGCAGCUCAAAACGGGUGGUAAAUUUCAUCUAAAGCUAAAUACGGGCCAGAGACCGAUAGCGCACAAGUAGAGUGAUCGAAAGAUGAAAAGCACUUUGGAAAGAGAGUUAAACAGUACGUGAAAUUGUUGAAAGGGAAGCGCUGGCGACCAGACGUGCGCGUCGGCGAUCAUCCGGGGCUCGCCCCCGGUGCACUCGGCGGCGCGCAGGCCCGCAUCGGUUUGGGGGGCGGGACAAAGGCCCCUGGAAUGUAGCUCCCCCGGGAGUGUUAUAGCCAGGGGCGGCAUGCCGCCCCCCCAGACCGAGGACCGCGCUCCGGCUAGGAUGCGGGCGUAAUGGUCGUCAGCGACCCGUCUUGAAACACGGACCAAGGAGUCUAACAUCUAUGCGAGUGUUUGGGUGGCAAACCCACACGCGGAAUGAAAGUGAACGGAGGUGAGAGCCCGCACGGGCGCAUCAUCGACCGGUCCUGAUGUCUUCGGAUGGAUCUGAGUAAGAGCAUAGCUGUUGGGACCCGAAAGAUGGUGAACUAUGCCUGAAUAGGGUGAAGCCAGAGGAAACUCUGGUGGAGGCUCGCAGCGGUUCUGACGUGCAAAUCGAUCGUCAAAUUUGGGUAUAGGGGCGAAAGACUAAUCGAACCAUCUAG
This 878-nucleotide ribosomal RNA is filed under the name Cyttaria hariotii. Its description in RNAcentral is "eukaryotic LSU rRNA". It matches the Rfam family "Eukaryotic large subunit ribosomal RNA", at positions 58 to 947 of the family's 3401-position model. The record is from RNAcentral. Lineage: Eukaryota; Fungi; Ascomycota; Leotiomycetes; Helotiales; Cyttariaceae.